CUGUGGGCUCUUUCCUCUUCCAGACCGACGCUGACAGCGACCUGGUGGGGGACACGUGUGACACCAACGAGGACAGCGAUGGGGACGGGCAUCAGGACAGCAAGGACAACUGCGCCCAGGUGCCCAACAGCUCCCAGCUGGAUUCGGACAACGACGGAUUUGGGGACGACUGCGACGGCGACGACGACAACGACGGCAUCCCGGAUUACGGGGCGCCGGGACCCGAUAA
This is a non-coding RNA of Meleagris gallopavo (turkey), 229 nucleotides long. The record is from RefSeq and is a predicted model, not a curated record. Lineage: Eukaryota; Metazoa; Chordata; Aves; Galliformes; Phasianidae.